RNAcentral lists this transfer RNA (74 nucleotides) under Candidatus Shapirobacteria bacterium CG_4_8_14_3_um_filter_39_11. RNAcentral's name for it is "tRNA-Met". It matches the Rfam family "tRNA". From Rfam's summary of the family: Transfer RNA (tRNA) molecules are approximately 80 nucleotides in length. Their secondary structure includes four short double-helical elements and three loops (D, anti-codon, and T loops). RNAcentral also lists the same sequence under 2 other names. Lineage: Bacteria; Candidatus Shapironibacteriota. The record is from RNAcentral.
GGCAGGGUAGCUUAGUUGGUUAAAGCGUGGCAUUCAUAACGCCAAGAUCGAGGGUCCGAUUCCCUCCCCUGCUA